UACAGAGGUCUCAAGCGUUGUUCGGAAUCACUGGGCGUAAAGGGUGCGUAGGUGGCGUGGUAAGUCAGAUGUGAAAGCCCGGGGCUCACCCUCGGAACUGCAUCCGAUACUGCCAUGCUGGAGAACUGGAGGGGAGUCUAGAAUUCACGGUGUAGCAGUGAAAUGCGUAGAUAUCGUGAGGAAUACCAAAGGCGAAGGCCGGACUCUGGACAGUUUCUGACACUGAGGCACGAAGGCUAGGGGAGCGAACGGG
This 253-nucleotide ribosomal RNA is filed under the name uncultured Prosthecobacter sp. Its description in RNAcentral is "partial 16S ribosomal RNA". It matches the Rfam family "Bacterial small subunit ribosomal RNA", at positions 524 to 776 of the family's 1533-position model. The record is from RNAcentral. Lineage: Bacteria; Pseudomonadati; Verrucomicrobiota; Verrucomicrobiia; Verrucomicrobiales; Verrucomicrobiaceae.